UACAGAGGUCUCAAGCGUUGUUCGGAUUCAUUGGGCGUAAAGGGUGCGUAGGCGGCGCGGUAAGUCGGGUGUGAAAUCUCGGGGCUUAACUCCGAAACUGCAUUCGAUACUGCCGUGCUUGAGGACUGGAGAGGAGACUGGAAUUUACGGUGUAGCGGUGAAAUGCGUAGAUAUCGUGAGGAAGACCAGUGGCGAAGGCGGAUCUCUGGACAAAUCCUGACGCUGAGGCGCGAAGGCUAGGGGAGCAAACGGG
RNAcentral lists this ribosomal RNA (253 nucleotides) under uncultured bacterium. RNAcentral's name for it is "partial 16S ribosomal RNA". It matches the Rfam family "Bacterial small subunit ribosomal RNA", at positions 524 to 776 of the family's 1533-position model. The record is from RNAcentral.